Molecule: long non-coding RNA, 1540 nt
Organism: Oreochromis aureus
Lineage: Eukaryota; Metazoa; Chordata; Actinopteri; Cichliformes; Cichlidae
Source: Ensembl
AAUCUGGACGCUACAGCUUUAAGCAGCUGCGCGCUCCCGCGGACGGCAAUCACAAUCACUGUCUAGCACAACAGCUGGAGCUCAGGAGGCAAAACAAUCGCAUGAGUGCUGCUGUUUGACUGAGGAAGAAUAAAGUAGUCGUGGUCAGAAUAUCAUUAAGUGUCACACUUUGACAAGUUCAUCAGCUGGUAACAAACCUGUUCACAGCUCAGAUCCAGACUCAGAUUUGGUGCCUUUCAGUGUCUGAAGAUGUGUUCGAGUCUCUCCACCAGCCGCCUGAUUCUUCUGAUCUCCCUGAGUGUGAUGAUGCUCAUCUCUGUAUCAGGGGCUGAACACGUGGGGAUACUCUGCUAUGAAAAUCAUUCUAACCAAAAUGCAAGAACCACAAAGGGUACACCUGUAUGGGCCAAAAACAUCAUCAGCUGCUUUGAACAAAACAGACAUGGCUGCCUUCAUGGCUAUGAGGUCAAAACACAAGCGCCAAAAACACGUGCAGAAAGAACAUUUUUCCUCAAACCAAACACCGAGUGGAUAAAAAGGAAAAUAAAUGAGGGAACUCUGCUGUGUCCUCCACAGAUUUCUAAAUGAUGAUAAUGGAAACGAUGAAACAAAAGCUGUAGGACACAAGACCCUAGUGUUUUUUGCCCAUUAUUCAUUAUUAAUUCUUUUCUUCUUCUUUUCUUUUUUCUUCUUCUUUCACCACCACAGGGAACUCUGCUGUGUCCUCCAGUGUUUUCAAAUAAACAUGUAUAAGCUAUUAAUCUUUAAUGAGUCCUCCCACUGUAGUUUGUAUAUUCCAACUGCACUACACUGUUUAGAAGCAGUGACUGUCUGUCAUCUUGUCUCGUAGGUUUCUUAAUUCACACAGUGAUUUUCAUAGAUUUAAUCUAAGUAUAGAUGAUGAAAAUGAUGAAACAUAGUUAAAGUAAAGCAGCUGCUGGAAACAUUUCUGCUCAUUUAUUAGUUCACACUUUGACAGAAAUAUUUGUUAAGAAAUGUAAAUUAUUUUUUGCAAAUUAUUCAUAGCACCUUAACAGUCUUAUGUUCACACACACACACACACAUAUAUAUAUAUUUAUAUAUGUACAAUACAAAGCAAUUUUACUAUAUAACAUGUUUAAAGCCAGGGGGUACACCAAAUUGCUUCACAGUAAGGAAUGAACAGUAAAAUGAUAACACUGAACAGUAAGUCAUUAAAAAAUGUAAAAUAGAGAAACAAACAAAGGCAUUAGUAAGUAGGGAUUGGCAGAAUUCAUGAUAAUCCAGAGAAAUGAGUAAAGAUACGCCAGUUAGUGAUUGGUGAGAAUUAGCAAAUAUACUACAAAUAUCAUUAAAUAUGAAUGUUAUUCUGUCUUCAAGCUGAGAACAAAGAUAAAUCAAUAAAAGCUUCUGAAAUCAGAUCUUUUUUAAUGGUCUGUGUGAUUAAUUACCAUUUGCUGUAGGUGUUAUAACUGACAACAAAAUACUUAUUGUUGUGAUUAUUUCAUGAUGACGUCAUGAUCACAGGACACCAGGAGGCAGCAUUUAACCGAUAUGGCAG